GGACGGUGACGAUUGUGAAAAGGUCUCGUUCGUCGUAAUGGGCUACCAAGCCCUUGCCGACCAUUCUGUUAUAUCACCACCCAUAUUCUGAGUCC
Molecule: small nucleolar RNA, 95 nt
Organism: Humulus lupulus (European hop)
Lineage: Eukaryota; Viridiplantae; Streptophyta; Magnoliopsida; Rosales; Cannabaceae
Product: small nucleolar RNA Z43
Exons: 1
Source: RefSeq, a predicted model, not a curated record